GAUGAACGCUGGCGGCGUGCCUAAUACAUGCAAGUCGAGCGAACGGACGAUAAGCUUGCGUCUCUGAUGUUAGCGGCUGACGGGUGAGUAAGACGUGGAUAACCUACCUAUAAGUCGUGGAGAACUUCGUGAAACCGGAUCUAAUACCGGAUGAUAUUUUGAACCGCAUGGUUCAAAGGUGAAAGGCGGUCUUGCUGUCACUUAUAGAUGGAUCCGCGCUGCAUUAGCUAGUUGGUAAGGUAACGGCUUACCAAGGCAACGAUGCAUAGCCGACCUGAGAGGGUGAUCGGCCACCCUGGAACUGAGACAAGGUCCAGACUCCUAAGGGAGGCAGCAGUAGGGAAUCUUCCGCAAUGGGCGACAGCCUGACGGAGCCAAGACGCGUGAGUGAUGAAGGUCUUCGGAUCGUAAAACUCUGUUAUUAGGGAAGAACAUAUGUGUAAGUAACUGUGCACAUCUUGACGGUAACUAAUAAGAAAGCCACGGCUAACCACGUG
This 497-nucleotide ribosomal RNA is filed under the name uncultured bacterium. RNAcentral's name for it is "partial 16S ribosomal RNA". It matches the Rfam family "Bacterial small subunit ribosomal RNA", at positions 28 to 507 of the family's 1533-position model. The record is from RNAcentral.